CAUGUAAACGCGGCUAGUGUGUGUCAAGGGUUCAUCUUGUUUUCUUAGAACAUUAGAAGCAUGCAAGUGCGUUCCAUUCGAUCAGACACGUUUUAUUUUCAGUUAGGCUACUGUAUAAUCAGUAAGACCACACCAUAAACACAUAAGCCCAACAUUAUACAUAGAUCAUAGAUAGGUCUCAGCAUGAAAUGGAGAACAUUUGAAGUUGAACUUGACCACUGGUUUGACAGCCUGCACUCUGUGUGUCACUACAUAAUAACAUCACUACAUACAAGUAACAAACGCUCUAGCCAAAUGUCAUUAGAGCUACAGUUAUUGAACAUUCAUGCAACAGCCUCAAGUGGCUUUACAAAUGUGUUUUGUCUCUGCUCAUUAUGACAAACUAAUUGUUCUGCAAUCAUUUUCCUGUCCAACAGAUCCAGCUUGUGCUUUUGAACAUAACACACGGUUACACUGUUGAGACAUGUUUGUGUCAUUGUACUUCGCAUCCAUGUUUUCAGCCUUCAGAGGCUGCUGAAGCUCCUUUCAGCUUUAUCACACAGUGUGUGUGUGUGUGUGUGUGUGUGUGUGUGUGUGUGUGUGUGUGUGUGUGUGUGUGUGUGUGUGUGUGUGUGUGUGUGUGUGUGUGUGUGUGUGUGUGUGUGUGUGCGUGUAUCAAACAAACACACAAUGAGUCAUACACACACACACACACACACACACACAGUGUAUCUGCUCGCAUUUCUUCCAUUUUGUAGGCCUAGAUGUAUGUAAAAGUUCAUAUAAUUGAUCAUCGCUAUUUGGAAUGAUUAUUUCUUCGCCUAUUCCAGAACACCCCCACUUUUGGAAAGCUUGAUACGCCCCUGAUUGUGGUUUCGGAUCAGUUUAAUACUACAGUGUGCACAGUGAUCUGGGAGCAGCUUUAUGAGGCUGUGCUUCUGCAUGGACAUGUACAGCAUCAUAAAUCCCCUGCAUGUUAAUGGGUUGAUGUGCAAUGAGAUAGAUGAACAGCAAUGCUGAACAGUGCAUGAUACAGCCAGCACAGUUAAAUGACACAAAGAAAUAAAUAACACUAUUUAUUUAACUUCUAUUUCUACUCAGGGAAGAUUCAAAGUGAGCAAUCAAACCCUGGUUGGAUGUGUCAUUUAGCCCUUUGAGUGUGGUGUAUGUGAUAAUGCGUAGCAUAGCUCAGGGCAGACAUUGUAGGCAUCAGCUCUAGCCAAAGGCCAGGUUCAAUGAAGUGGACUGAAAUAUGUUCCCACCUGAAUGGUGCUUUGGCUGUGCAGUUCACAUGCACAGUUUGUCCACAUGCACCUAUUCAUCCCCCAGCGAUUGUAGCCCAGCUUCUUUUAGGUUUUAGAUUUUAGAUAUGUUAAGUUUAAGUCUACCUUCCUUUUUUUACGUGAACUUGCCUCACUGUUUAAAUAAUGUCUGCCUCUGACUCAUCAAUUGUUUACUUAUAUUCCUCAGGGCCCGAAAGGACCAAGAGGUGAAAGGGGACCCCAGGGCCCUGACGGGAGGGACGGCAGACCUGGCAACCCCGGCCCUGCUGGGCCCCCAGGACCCCCUGGCCUCGGCGGAAACUUUGCUGCUCAGUAUGAUCACAACAAAGGCGCUGAUAUUGGUCCCGGCCCCAUGGGAAUGAUGGGAAUGAAAGGCCAACCUGGACUUCCCGGCCCCCCUGGAGAAAGAGUGAUAAUCCCUUGAGUCCGGACUUUGUUCCAUCUCUUUUCAACUACGUUCCAUCUCCAGAGAAGAGGAAAAGAAAAAUGAGACUGGAGGUUUUCAACAGACGACAGAGAGCAAAGCUACAGAAGAUGGAGCAGACAAAGCUAUCUGCGAAAGCCAUCCCUCCCAGAGCAUCAACAGAUUGUCCCCAAGACUGCAACAAGGAUCCUACUGCAGAGCAAAGUCCCACCACAGAGCCUUUGAAGGAAUCUACCCAUGAAGAACCUGGAAACGAUGUCCAGCCUGUUCUCCAUGAGGAGGAUCCAGCAACCCCACCAUGCACCACUGAAACCUGUGGUAAACGCGUCCAAUCUCUUGAGCAAGAAUGCCAAGCUCUGAGGACUGAAAAUAUGUUGUUGAAGGAAAAAAAUGAAUAGGACUACACUGAAUGAGAUGAGCUUGCAUAACGAUGAUAAAAGGGUUCAUACUCUCACUGGUUUAUCAGCAUUCUCCAUUCUCAUGACAAUUUUUCAUAUUGUGGCUCCUUUUCUCCAACUUAAAUCUAGUUUAACAUGUUUUCAGCAGUACAUGUUAACUUUAAUUAAGCUUAGAAUGAACUUGUCCUUUGAGUUUUUGGCUUUUUAUUUUGACAUUGACUCAAACACUGUUUCAAAGCUCUUCAAACACUGCAUUAGUGUGAUGCAUUGUAGACUGGUGCCAAGUCUGGUGUUGUGGCCUGACAGAGAAUACUUAAGAAAAUCUCUUCCAUACGCAUUUCGAAACCGUAGCUUUGAAAAGACAGUUUGCAUUAUAGAUUGUUUUGAAAUAUUUCUAGAGAAACCCAGUAGAUUGCUAGCCAGUGCUCAGUGUUACUCAUCAUACAAAUCACACCACACAAUGAAAUAUUUAAUUGCAAUUUGCCCUCGAGGUUCCAUUUGUUUAAUUUCCGCUGGAUGGGGAGGUCGCACAAGUGAUAAGUUUAUCACAGAACAAAGUCACUUUUUUAUCUCAUUUGCUCCCAGGGGACGUAGUUUUAGCGGACAGAGGUUGUCUGGUUAAAGAGUCCAUUGAGAGAUGCCAAGCUGAAUUAAAAAUUCCAGCAUUUACUCAUGGAUAGAAGCAGUUAGAUCCUGCUGACUUGGAGAACACCAGACGUCUAGCCUCUCUUAGGAUACAUAUUGAAAGAGUGAUAGGAGUUCUCCGUCAAAAGUACACAGUCUUGCAAAGCACUGUCCCCAUAUGUUUCACGGACAUAGACAGGGAAAAUGAUGUGACCUACCUUGACAAGAUGGUGAGCGUGUGUUGUGCACUUACAAAUGUGUCUGAAUCUGUGGUGUCCUUCCAGUGAUGGGGAUGUACAGUACAUUGAACUGAUGUGACUGGCUACAGAUGUGCUCAACCAGCAAAUAAACCUUUGUGACUCACACUUCUUGCUUGCUUGUCGUGACAUUAUUUUUAAUCACUCGCUAUUCUGAUGCCAUCACAUCGUUUCUCUUUGCAGAUCAAGCUGCACAUCCACCCAUUCUAACUUGAGUUCCACCCAAACAGAUAUUUGUUCUGGUGUGUUUUAUAUGAAUGACCCACCCAUGUUUCAUAUCCCUGAUUGCUACAGAUAUUUAAUACAAAUUAUGGGGAAGAGAACAAUAUUGGUUUAACAACUGUUUAUUCAUAAAUAACAGUACAGUAUCAGCUACUACAAACAACUCAUUUCACAGUCUCCUCACUAAGGUUUUCUUCUUUGGGCAUUGAUCACUUUUCGGCGGAUGGGACAUACCC
Long non-coding RNA from Gadus chalcogrammus (walleye pollock), 3423 nucleotides. RefSeq lists it as uncharacterized. The record is from RefSeq and is a predicted model, not a curated record. The transcript is spliced from 6 exons. NCBI's taxonomy places the organism in Eukaryota, Metazoa, Chordata, Actinopteri, Gadiformes, Gadidae.